Molecule: ribosomal RNA, 460 nt
Filed under: uncultured bacterium
Lineage: Bacteria
Description: partial 16S ribosomal RNA
Rfam family: Bacterial small subunit ribosomal RNA
Source: RNAcentral
CCUACGGGUGGCAGCAGCGAGGAAUAUUGGUCAAUGGGCGCGAGCCUGAACCAGCCAAGUCGCGUGAAGGAUGACUGCCCUACGGGUUGUAAACUUCUUUUAUAAAGGAAUAAAGUGAGGCACGUGUGCCUUUUUGUGUGUACUUUAUGAAUAAGGAUCGGCUAACUCCGUGCCAGCAGCCGCGGUAAUACGGAGGAUCCGAGCGUUAUCCGGAUUUAUUGGGUUUAAAGGGAGCGUAGAUGGGUUGUUAAGUCAGUUGUGAAAGUUUGCGGCUCAACCGUAAAAUUGCAAUUGAUACUGGCAGCCUUGAGUACAGUUGAGGUAGGCGGAAUGCGUGGUGUAGCGGUGAAAUGCUUAGAUAUCACGAAGAACCCCGAUUGCGAAGGCAGCUUACUAAACUGCCACUGACACUGAUGCUCGAAAGUGUGGGUAUCAAACAGGAUUAGAUACCCGUGUAGUC